AUACUCUUCCCUUUUAGUAUCGACAAGUCGUUUAGACGGUUAGUCGAGUAAAGAAUAAUGUUUAUUUACCACGUUAUUUGAAUAAUUCUACCGGUACCAAAGUUGGAAUAUUCUCAAUAGUUUUUUUAUAAAAACUAAUAUGGACAUUCAGCAUACGUUAUGCUGCCAAGUCGAAGCAUUUAUUCAAUAAGCACAAUUUAAGAUAAUGCGAGACAAAGGUACAAGAAAGUAUGUGUUGAAUGACAAUUCACGAAUAAAUUAUCCAAGAGGGAAGUGCUACCAAAUAUUAGAAAAAUUCUCUUACGUCUGCUUAUACUUUAACCAGAUAUAAGAAAAAUGAAAUUAAAAGAUUGAUCUCAUUUAAAA
Molecule: long non-coding RNA, 366 nt
Organism: Diorhabda carinulata
Lineage: Eukaryota; Metazoa; Arthropoda; Insecta; Coleoptera; Chrysomelidae
Exons: 2
Source: RefSeq, a predicted model, not a curated record